This 1786-nucleotide long non-coding RNA is filed under the name Marmota monax (woodchuck). Lineage: Eukaryota; Metazoa; Chordata; Mammalia; Rodentia; Sciuridae. The record is from RNAcentral.
GUUUCUUUUUGUUUCAGUUUCAUUGAUUUCAGCUCUGAUUUUAAUAAUUUCCUGUCUUCUGCUGCUUUUGGUGUUGAUUUGUUCUUUUUCUAGGGCUUUGAGAUGUAAUGUUAGGUUAUUUAUUUGGCUGUUUUCUGUUCUUUUAAUAAAUGUGCUCAAUGUAAUGAGCUUUUCUCUUAGAAUGCCUUCAUAAUGUUCCAAAGAUUUUAAUAUGUUGUGUUGUUAUUCUCAUUUACUAAGUAUUUUUUGAAUUUCAUCCCUGAUUUCUUCUGCUAUCCAUUGGUCAUUCAAUAGCAUGUUAUAGUCUCUGGAUGUUAGAGUAGCUUCUAUUUUUUAUUUUAUCAUUGAUUUCUAAUUUUAUUGUAUUAUGAUAGAAUGUCAGGUAUUAUCUCUUUUUUGUGUAUUUGCUAAGAGUUGUUUUGUAGCAUGAUAUAUUGUCUAUUUUACAGAAGGAUCUGUAAAGUAUUUUUGAUCAUUGAUGGAUGAAAUACUCCAUAUGUUCAUUAAGUCCAAAUUAUUGAUUGUAUUAUUUAGUUCUACAGUUUUUUUGUUUAGUUUUUGUUUGGAAUAUCUAUCCAGUGAUGAGAGAGGUAUGUUAAAGUCACCCAGUAUUAUGUUGUGGUCUAUUUCAUUCUUGAAAUUGAGAAGGUUUUGUUUUAUGUAUGUAAAUGCUUCAUUGUUUGGGGCAUAAAUAUUUACAAUUAUUAUGUCUUGUUGACAUAUAAUUCCUUUAAACAGUAUGAAGUGACCUUCUUUGUCCCUCUUGAUUAAUUUUGGCUUGAAGUCUACUUUACCUGAUAUGACGCUAGAAACCCCUGCUUAUUUAGUAAUCCAUAUUGAAUGAUAUGUUUUUAGGCAUUUUCAUAAUAAUGAGCAUUGGCGUGGGGGUCUGUGGUAAUUUUGUACAUUUGAAGUCCUGUAAGCCUUCUGUAUUUGAUUUUCCAUUUCAUUCUUUAGGUUUGGGACAUUUUCUGAUAUUAUUUCAUGGAUAAGAUUGUGUAUUCCUUUGGUUUGUGUCUCUGAACGUUUAACUAUCCCAAUAAAUCUUAAAUUUUGUCUUUUCAUGUUAUCCCAUAUUUCUUGGAAGUUCUGUUCAUGGUCUCUUAACAUCUUCUUUCCAUGAUCAAAUUUAUUUUCGAGAUUAUAUAUUUUGUCUUCAUUGCCUGAAACACUCUCUCUGACUGGUCUGUUCUGUUCGUGAAGCUUUCUAUUGAAUUUUUAAUUUGGUUUAUUGAUUCCUUCAUUUCAAGGAUUUCUGCUUGAUUUCUUUUCCUAAUCCCUAUUGAAGUGAUCUUUCAUCUCCUGAAUUUUAUCUCUUGAUUUCAUUCCUUACAUCAUCCUUUACCUUGAGGAUUAAACUAUGUACAUUCUAAACUCCUUUUCUGAUGUUUCUUCCACUGUGGUGUCAGUGGAUUCUAUUAUUGGAACAUAUUAGUUUGUUUGGGGCAAUUUGUUCCCUUGUUUUUUCAUAUUAUUUGUGUGUCUACCCACCUAGCAGUGGAUCUGACACAGUACAGUUUCUACCCUGUAGCCUUCCCUGAAGGUUUCCAGUACCUCACUUUUAAGGGGGAGUCAAAUAAUAACAGCACCCAAUGCGAACAAUAUACAGCCUUAAACCAAAUAGUUACUACUAAGACAUCUACAAUUUUGUCACAAUAAACAAAUGAUGUAUUUAGUUAUUGCCCACAAUAAAAACAGUAAGUCUGCAAAAGGGUUUACAAAUGGUGGACAAAUCGAGAACAGAAGUAUUGUAGGAUGUGAUGUUUAUGAGGAAGGAGGAGAGAGG